UAACACAUGCAAGUCGAUUCGAUUUACCUUCGGGUAUUGAGGAUGGCGGACGGGUGAGUAACGCGUAAGGAACUUGCCUCUUGGUCUGGGACAACUGUUGGAAACGACAGCUAAUACCGGAUAUUAUGAGAUUCUCGCAUGGGAAACUUAUGAAAGCUAUAUGCGCCAAGAGAGAGCCUUGCGUUCCAUUAGCUAGUUGGUGGGGUAACGGCCCACCAAGGCGACGAUGGAUAGCCGGCCUGAGAGGGUGAACGGCCACAAGGGGACUGAGACACGGCCCUUACUCCUACGGGAGGCAGCAGUGGGGAAUAUUGGACAAUGGGCCACAAGCCUGAUCCAGCAAUUCUGUGUGCACGAUGAAGGUCUUCGGAUUGUAAAGUGCUUUCAGUUGGGAAGAAGAAAGUGACGGUACCAACAGAAGAAGCGACGGCUAAAUACGUGCCAGCAGCCGCGGU
Molecule: ribosomal RNA, 455 nt
Filed under: anaerobic bacterium G30
Lineage: Bacteria
Description: bacterial SSU rRNA
Rfam family: Bacterial small subunit ribosomal RNA
Source: RNAcentral